RNAcentral lists this ribosomal RNA (305 nucleotides) under uncultured bacterium. RNAcentral's name for it is "bacterial SSU rRNA". It matches the Rfam family "Bacterial small subunit ribosomal RNA", at positions 335 to 655 of the family's 1533-position model. The record is from RNAcentral.
GGCCUACGGGAGGCAGCAGUGGGGAAUAUUGGGCAAUGGGCGCAAGCCUGACCCAGCAACGCCGCGUGAAGGAAGAAGGCUUUCGGGUUGUAAACUUCUUUUCUCAGGGACGAAGAAAGUGACGGUACCUGAGGAAUAAGCCACGGCUAACUACGUGCCAGCAGCCGCGGUAAUACGUAGGUGGCAAGCGUUAUCCGGAUUUAUUGGGUGUAAAGGGCGUGCAGCCGGGCUGACAAGUCAGAUGUGAAAUCCCGCGGCUCAACCGCGGAACUGCAUUUGAAACUGUCAGUCUUGAGUACCGGAGA